Molecule: transfer RNA, 73 nt
Filed under: Stegodyphus dumicola
Lineage: Eukaryota; Metazoa; Arthropoda; Arachnida; Araneae; Eresidae
Description: tRNA-Met
Rfam family: tRNA
About the family: Transfer RNA (tRNA) molecules are approximately 80 nucleotides in length.
Source: RNAcentral
GCCUUCGUAGUGUAAUGGGCAGCACGCUCGACGCAUAUUCGAGGGGUCCGUGGUUCGAGUCCCGGCGGGGGCA